UUUGCACGUAAUUCAUUUUCUUGGCCAAUCCUCUCUCUUUCCAAAAUCUUUACGCCAUGCAGACUAUAAGAAGUCAGUUAGUUUCUCAAGUAUCAGAAAACAUUCUUGCCUCGGGAUCUCAUGUAUGGAUUCUCUAGUAUUAUCAAAGACGGCAAUACUCACAGCUGGGAUUAUCGCUUAAUUUAAUGCAAGCAACGUUUCGGACAUUCGCUCGUCAUAUAAGAGAGGGUGAUGUCUGAGGAAAUGAUGGGGGAAGAGUCGAGCUCCCCGGUGUCUCCAGUGGACAGUCUCAGCAACAGCGAAGGAGAGCUGGAAAGGCAACCGAAGAGAUGUGGGAGGAAAAGGAGAUCAAGCAGGAAAAACGGGGAGGAUUCAGAUAGCCCGACCCCUGGGAAAAGAGGGAAAAAGUCCAGCAGCAGCAGUCCACAGUCUUUCGAAGACCUACAGACGCAACGAGUCAUGGCUAACGUGCGCGAGCGACAGAGGACUCAAUCACUGAACGAAGCUUUCGCUGCUUUGCGGAAAAUUAUUCCCACUUUGCCCUCAGAUAAACUUAGCAAAAUACAAACUCUUAAACUUGCGGCCAGGUACAUCGAUUUCCUCUACCAAGUUCUGCAGAGCGAUGAGUUGGACUCCAAAAUGGCAAGUUGUAGUUAUGUGGCUCAUGAGAGGUUAAGCUAUGCGUUCUCUGUAUGGAGGAUGGAGGGCGCUUGGUCCAUGUCAGCAUCUCACUAGCGUCUGAAGAGCAGUAAUACAAAAUGGUGACAGCUGAUUCUCCUCAUCAACUUGACGGGACAAAUCUGGAGUCCACUGCUGGAUAUAUACAAAGCUCCGUUAUAUGGGAGACAGCUAUUUAAACCAAAGAGGACAUCGCGAGAGGAUCUUUUUUUCUAGAAAAAAGGCCUACGAAGGACCUACAAUCGAGUGCGAGCCUACUACAAUACAUUCUGAUGUGUUUCUUUAUUGUUGACGACGAAUGUUGGAAAUGUAUGUUUUUAUACAUGCCUCUGGGCUCUGCCGUGCGUUAUUUUCUGUGGAAGUCAAAGUGCAUCCAAGCAACUGUCUCAGUUUUUUGUGAGACUGUCAGUAUUGGAAGGCAGCCCGUAUUGGUUGACAUGUGGAUCAAUCCUGAGCAGAUAAUGUAGGUUAUUGUUUUCAGAACUCAACUAUUUAUUUAUUGAGGACACGAGGACUUGGAUCAUAUUUCUGAAAUGCAUUCCUUUUUAUUAUCGUUGUAAAUAGUUGUAUAUUUUUCACAAUAAAGACAAUGAUUUUGAAAAUCAA
Molecule: RNA transcript, 1284 nt
Organism: Hypomesus transpacificus
Lineage: Eukaryota; Metazoa; Chordata; Actinopteri; Osmeriformes; Osmeridae
Gene: twist1b
Gene name: twist family bHLH transcription factor 1b
Exons: 2
Source: RefSeq, a predicted model, not a curated record